AGGAAUCUGCCUAUUAGUGGGGGACAACAUCUCGAAAGGGAUGCUAAUACCGCAUACGUCCUACGGGAGAAAGCAGGGGAUCACUUGUGACCUUGCGCUAAUAGAUGGGCCUAAGUCGGAUUAGCUAGUUGGUGGGGUAAAGGCCUACCAAGGCGACGAUCUGUAGCGGGUCUGAGAGGAUGAUCCGCCACACUGGGACUGAGACACGGCCCAGACUCCUACGGGAGGCAGCAGUGGGGAAUAUUGGACAAUGGGGGGAACCCUGAUCCAGCCAUGCCGCGUGUGUGAAGAAGGCCUUAUGGUUGUAAAGCACUUUAAGCGAGGAGGAGGCUCUUUUGGUUAAUACCCAGAAUGAGUGGACGUUACUCGCAGAAUAAGCACCGGCUAACUCUGUGCCAGCAGCCGCGGUAAUACAGAGGGUGCAAGCGUUAAUCGGAUUUACUGGGCGUAAAGCGCGCGUAGGCGGCCAAUUAAGUCAAAUGUGAAAUCCCCGAGCUUAACUUGGGAAUUGCAUUCGAUACUGGUUGGCUAGAGUGUGGGAGAGGAUGGUAGAAUUCCAGGU
RNAcentral lists this ribosomal RNA (562 nucleotides) under uncultured bacterium. RNAcentral describes it as "bacterial SSU rRNA". It matches the Rfam family "Bacterial small subunit ribosomal RNA", at positions 119 to 674 of the family's 1533-position model. The record is from RNAcentral.